Molecule: ribosomal RNA, 2325 nt
Filed under: Salmonella enterica subsp. enterica serovar Enteritidis
Lineage: Bacteria; Pseudomonadati; Pseudomonadota; Gammaproteobacteria; Enterobacterales; Enterobacteriaceae
Description: partial 23S ribosomal RNA
Rfam family: Bacterial large subunit ribosomal RNA
Source: RNAcentral
GCGCGACAGCGCAAAGGCAGGCGGUUUCGCGUAGCGAAAGCGAAUGCUUUGGGGUGGGGUGACUGCGUACCUUUUGUAUAAUGGGUCAGCGACUUAUAUUCUGUAGCAAGGUUAACCGAAUAGGGGAGCCGGAGGGAAACCGAGUCUUAAUUGGGCGUUAAGUUGCAGGGUAUAGACCCGAAACCCGGUGAUCUAGCCAUGGGCAGGUUGAAGGUUGGGUAACACUAACUGGAGGACCGAACCGACUAAUGUUGAAAAAUUAGCGGAUGACCUGUGGCUGGGGGUGAAAGGCCAAUCAAACCGGGAGAUAGCUGGUUCUCCCCGAAAGCUAUUUAGGUAGCGCCUCGUGAAUUCAUCUCCGGGGGUAGAGCACUGUUUCGGCUAGGGGGCCAUCCCGGCUUACCAACCCGAUGCAAACUGCGAAUACCGGAGAAUGUUAUCACGGGAGACACACGGCGGGUGCUAACGUCCGUCGUGAAGAGGGAAACAACCCAGACCGCCAGCUAAGGUCCCAAAGUCAUGGUUAAGUGGGAAACGAUGUGGGAAGGCCCAGACAGCCAGGAUGUUGGCUUAGAAGCAGCCAUCAUUUAAAGAAAGCGUAAUAGCUCACUGGUCGAGUCGGCCUGCGCGGAAGAUGUAACGGGGCUAAACCAUGCACCGAAGCUGCGGCAGCGACACUGUGUGUUGUUGGGUAGGGGAGCGUUCUGUAAGCCUGUGAAGGUGUGUCGUGAGGCAUGCUGGAGGUAUCAGAAGUGCGAAUGCUGACAUAAGUAACGAUAAAGCGGGUGAAAAGCCCGCUCGCCGGAAGACCAAGGGUUCCUGUCCAACGUUAAUCGGGGCAGGGUGAGUCGACCCCUAAGGCGAGGCCGAAAGGCGUAGUCGAUGGGAAACGGGUUAAUAUUCCCGUACUUGGUGUUACUGCGAAGGGGGGACGGAGAAGGCUAUGUUGGCCGGGCGACGGUUGUCCCGGUUUAAGCGUGUAGGUGUGUGUUCCAGGUAAAUCCGGUUCACUUUAACACUGAGGCGUGACGACGAGGCACUACGGUGCUGAAGCAACAAAUGCCCUGCUUCCAGGAAAAGCCUCUAAGCAUCAGGUAACAUCAAAUCGUACCCCAAACCGACACAGGUGGUCAGGUAGAGAAUACCAAGGCGCUUGAGAGAACUCGGGUGAAGGAACUAGGCAAAAUGGUGCCGUAACUUCGGGAGAAGGCACGCUGACACGUAGGUGAAGUGAUUUACUCAUGGAGCUGAAGUCAGUCGAAGAUACCAGCUGGCUGCAACUGUUUAUUAAAAACACAGCACUGUGCAAACACGAAAGUGGACGUAUACGGUGUGACGCCUGCCCGGUGCCGGAAGGUUAAUUGAUGGGGUCAGCGCAAGCGAAGCUCCUGAUCGAAGCCCCGGUAAACGGCGGCCGUAACUAUAACGGUCCUAAGGUAGCGAAAUUCCUUGUCGGGUAAGUUCCGACCUGCACGAAUGGCGUAAUGAUGGCCAGGCUGUCUCCACCCGAGACUCAGUGAAAUUGAACUCGCUGUGAAGAUGCAGUGUACCCGCGGCAAGACGGAAAGACCCCGUGAACCUUUACUAUAGCUUGACACUGAACAUUGAGCCUUGAUGUGUAGGAUAGGUGGGAGGCUUUGAAGUGUGGACGCCAGUCUGCAUGGAGCCGACCUUGAAAUACCACCCUUUAAUGUUUGAUGUUCUAACGUGGACCCGUUACCCGGGUUGCGGACAGUGUCUGGUGGGUAGUUUGACUGGGGCGGUCUCCUCCUAAAGAGUAACGGAGGAGCACGAAGGUUGGCUAAUCCUGGUCGGACAUCAGGAGGUUAGUGCAAUGGCAUAAGCCAGCUUGACUGCGAGCGUGACGGCGCGAGCAGGUGCGAAAGCAGGUCAUAGUGAUCCGGUGGUUCUGAAUGGAAGGGCCAUCGCUCAACGGAUAAAAGGUACUCCGGGGAUAACAGGCUGAUACCGCCCAAGAGUUCAUAUCGACGGCGGUGUUUGGCACCUCGAUGUCGGCUCAUCACAUCCUGGGGCUGAAGUAGGUCCCAAGGGUAUGGCUGUUCGCCAUUUAAAGUGGUACGCGAGCUGGGUUUAGAACGUCGUGAGACAGUUCGGUCCCUAUCUGCCGUGGGCGCUGGAGAACUGAGGGGGGCUGCUCCUAGUACGAGAGGACCGGAGUGGACGCAUCACUGGUGUUCGGGUUGUCAUGCCAAUGGCACUGCCCGGUAGCUAAAUGCGGAAGAGAUAAGUGCUGAAAGCAUCUAAGCACGAAACUUGCCCCGAGAUGAGUUCUCCCUGAGACUUAAAGUCUCCUGAAGGAACGUU